ACGACUGUUUCAUGGGCUGUGAAGGUGGGAAUGAUUAUGAUGACAACCGCUUGCCCAUGCAUUAACAACAGAGUAACCUCAAAGCCUCCUCCCACAUCAUCAUUUGACAUUUUUCAAGGAGUGAACAUGGUCGACAAGAAGAUCUGAACAAGCUGACUAUGUGAAGGGAGCCUGAACAACGAUAACAUCAUCAGUUGGACAACGUGAGGUGGCACGGUGGUUCAGUAGUUCGCACUACAGCCUCACAGGGCCAGGGACCCAGGUUCGAUUCCAGCCUCAGGUAUGCAGGCCCAAAACAUGCCGUACCUAUACAGGCUAGUUAUUGACCAUUGUCAGCAUGAACCUGUUGCAACUGGAGGCAGUCAAAGCACAUGAUUGUGUGCCAGAUGAACUGCUGAGGAAAUGGGAGGAAGAAAAGACACCCCUGUGCCAACACAGUAGCCUGACUUGAGCCAACAGAGUGUUGGGGAUAUGUGACAAUAAUAAAGGGCAACACUGCAUUGGAGGACUGCUGCACGUCCAAGAAGUGGAUC
Stegostoma tigrinum is the source of this 533-nucleotide long non-coding RNA. RefSeq lists it as uncharacterized. The record is from RefSeq and is a predicted model, not a curated record. Lineage: Eukaryota; Metazoa; Chordata; Chondrichthyes; Orectolobiformes; Stegostomatidae. The transcript is spliced from 4 exons.